AAGACACAGCAACUGUUACAUGGUUUAUUUUGAGGACAUUUAGAGUCUCAAUGUCCAAGACUCAUAAGACCUGCCAUCAGGCCUUUACUUCUCUUGGCCUUGGAUACUUACCAGUUCUUCAGCCUCUCAACCUUAUGCCUGGGCUCAGGGUCUAAUGCCAUCUUUCCCCCACAAGGAAAUGUCAUGCCUUGGAAACACCCUUCUUUCUCAUGGUUGACUGCAACCAUCAUUGGCAGAAUGAUGUUCCCCUGAUCUACUUCAACAUUUAAAGCUUAACCCAGCUGACACGCCCAAGCUUCAAGAGUACGGGAUACAUCUGUUCUCACUUCAACGGCAAUAUUAGCUACUGUGUGCCUCACUUUAUAUGAGAGUUUCCAUAUUUGAAGGAAAUUUAGAAUCUGAGAUAGGAGUCUUAAACAAUUAUUAUCCAUGCCCUUCUCUUUAUUGAUGCUUUCCUAUGAAUCAUAAGGAAAUGAACCUCUUCAGUAAACUCUGUCAAGGCUUCAAUUCCCUUCCCGAGGUUUCUGAAAACUCUCACUAUCUUCUUAGGAGUAUUAAAAGAUUUGGUGAAGAGUUCCUUCAGGUUGUCUUGCACCAUCCACUGAGGGUCGCUAAAGCACAAACGACCUUUGAUUUUCCACACUCAUCUCCCUACACUAAUUAUGUACUAGCUCCAAACCAUUUUCCAAAACAAUUAUGGUCAUGGUGGGCAAAACAACUGCCUUCAUCUGUAGACCUACAAUCUUGGAUACCUAGGUACUCUGCCUCCUCAUUGGAGGUUGGACAGAGAACACACACUUAGUAUUUUAACCUGGUGGUGAGUGCACUGGGGUCUUUCCUCCCACAGCCAUGGAAGAGGUAGAGAGUUGAAGACCCAGAAUUUCAAACGAAGUUUAUCUCUAUUAAUCAUCCUGAUGUUUUCUCCAGGGCCACUUCCCACUCCUGAUAUCUACUCAACUCUGACUUCCAACACUCUGAACCAUUCUCACCUCCUGAGAUGUCUUCUCUUGGAUGUGCUUUCAACUAUGACUUUUCUUCCAUAAUGCUUCUCUGUCCCUCUAAAGCCCUGCUUUCUACCCUUAGGAAGUCCUCAUAAAUUUCUAAUCUACACUUAAUACUCUAUUUUUCAAAAGUGUUUUGAAUUCAUUCUUUUAUGAAUACUUUCUAUUAUUUCAGAGAAUUUGCCUCAAAAGGCAAUGUAAAUACAUGACUUCUGUUUCAUUUUCCUGAUCAAAUCUCAUGCAGAAUAAUUUUUAAUGGUUACCUGAAAUGACUAAAGAACAGCAAGUUUCUUUUCAAUAUUUACAAACACUCCAAGAAAUUUAUAAGCAUAUAUACAUUUUUGGGGGGGUUUCUCCAU
Molecule: long non-coding RNA, 1360 nt
Filed under: Equus caballus (horse)
Lineage: Eukaryota; Metazoa; Chordata; Mammalia; Perissodactyla; Equidae
Description: lncRNA (ENSECAG00000059683.1)
Source: RNAcentral